Molecule: long non-coding RNA, 4767 nt
Filed under: Strigops habroptila (Kakapo)
Lineage: Eukaryota; Metazoa; Chordata; Aves; Psittaciformes; Psittacidae
Description: lncRNA (ENSSHBG00005005533.1)
Source: RNAcentral
AGCACAUUUAAAAAAAAAAAUAUUUUUUGCUGUAUUGUUUCCAACCACUUACUUACUUGAAAAAAAACCCUGCCAUUUUACGUUUUAUAAAGUUCCAUUUGAAAGAAGUUUCAUAUACAAGUUGACUGAAAGUUACAUAGCUCCUAUGUGCACUGCAGGGAUGAGUAACUUCAUAAUCAACAAACCAAACCAUAAAUCAACAUCGAGUAUUACUGAGACUAAUUGGUUUAGCUGAGAUAUCUAUCUUAGCUGUGGCAGCAUCUUAGGCUGACUCAGCCAGGCUGAAAAACACAGGAAUUAUAGACUAAAAUCCUCAACCCACAAGAAUCAUAGAUUGAAAACAGUGAAAAUGAUUGCAAAAGGAAUAUUACAGAAGACUUGGAGAACCUCUGCUGGACCUGUCCCCUUCCUACAGUUUCUUGUUUCACUUUAUGAUCUGCAUUAUAGAAUCAUAGAAUGGUGUGGGUUGGAAGGGACCUAAGAAGAUGCAACUGCCUAAGUAGGACGAGUCCAGCCUGUGCAGAACCAGGGUACAUGUCCCUCACAAUCUGCAGGCUUAUGAGGUCUUGCUUCAGGACUUCGACUAUUAACUGAGAGCUUCAUUUAAAGAUUUAUCACCUCUACAUUGAUUUCAGUACACUUGCACGAAAACUUCCAAUAGUCUGCUAUUACAGGAAGAGAGCCAGCUGGCCUCACCUAACUAUUUUCUCUUUUCAAUAGGCUCUUAACAGAAUUCUUCCUUCAAGGAACAACUCUCCUCAACACUGCUUCUCUAGUGGCAUUUUGGUGGCAGAUUAUAAAUAUAUUUAAUUAUAAUUGAAAUUGGCAAAAAAAACACAAAACAAACAGUAAAUGUAUUGCAUAGGUUUAAAUGUACUUCAAGGGUGAAAAGUCUAGAACCCAGGGCAGAGAGAAUAAGUUUUAUGUUGGAGGUUUUCCCUAAUAUGAAGCCUUUAAGAUGAAAGUGGUGUAACACUUAAAGAAGCUGUAAGGUUCAAGCAAGAACUGCCUACGAAAGUCUGGGCUUUGUGUAAUGUGGUCAGUCACGACAGAUGUUGUAUGCAUGACAAGCUAUGCCGUUGCUUGUCUGAAAUGUCUUAAGUAUCAGAUAUGCCAAAUAUUUCAGACUAUUACAAAAACCCAAACCAAACCAAAACCAUCCCUGCCAUUUUUCUAUGCUUUCAAAUUAUCUUUUCCCUGUUCCAUGGCAUUGUUAAGCGCUUUUGUUAUCUCUGUUAAUGCUGAAGGAAAAGUAGGAGAGAUCCAUUACAAGUUUCAGCAACUGAUUGAGCUACUUAAGUUCUAGAGUUAAGUUGAUAUUACUUCUGUUCACUUCUGUUACCUAUUUCUGAAGUACAGUUGUUUCUCCUUGAGUAACAAGGUAACAAACAUGCACUUGCAUGCAAUUUAUUAGACAGGUUAUGCUUUCAUGAUUUCAAGCAAUGGAGUUAGCACACCUUACUAAAUUAACAGCUUUCAGAUGAAAACUGCUACGACUUGGGUGGCAUGCAAUAGCUGAGCAUGUGGAUGUUACUAGUCUGUAGCAAUGCAUAGAAAAUGGGCUAGCUGAAGCCAUCGUUGUUCUCAGUACUGCUGGGUGACAUCUAUUUCUUCCUCAGAGAUGAGACUAGAAUUCGCAAACUCUUGCAUUAUGAUUAAAUUCUAAUAUUAAUGCAUUUCAUUCCCAUGAAUAUGCUUUAAACUAAAUUUAAUAUCCUAGUUCUCUUAAUUAUCACAGCAAAGUACAAUCUCCUCUCUAGCUAGGACUGAGAAUAAUUUUCUGCUUAAAGGUCAACCAUUCUUAGUCUAAAAUCUGCACAAUUAUUAGACUUCACAGUGGUUUGAAGAAGGGAGGAAGGGACAGAACUACAGAUCCAGAUGUGGUAUCAUUUAAGAAAGUCAAAAUGAGUAACUGCACUCUAAGAACCAUUGUUUUUAUGCCUAUAUCUUCAGUGUGACCUUAAACAGUAAAAGAUCUUAGACAGGGAAGAAAUAUCAAAAGUUUUAUUGAAAGAAGAGAUAGUAUUUCUGAGCUGCUGCAGGAAAUACCCUCCCCACCCCCAAAACAUGUGUACAAGUAUUUCUAGAAAAGCUUAUUUCAUUUAACCUUUGGGAAACUAGGACCUUAAACCUCUGCUACAUCCUGAAACAUACUAAGUUUGAAAGUCAGGUGCCAGAAAAAGCUCUGUGCAUAUUGUUACUGUUCACUUCAGCUAGGAGAGAGAGAAGAUAAACAUGCUGUGAGGUGUGGGAAGAAAAAAAGAGAGCUACUCUUCAGACUUUAAUUGAGUUGGUAAUUUUUUUAUGUCAGAAUAGCCACAUAAAAUUGGGAGUCUGGAUACACAAGAGUGAAAUUAUAUAUAUAUUUUUCUAUAUCUUGACUUUGUUUAGAAGUUUCUCUCCAUAUAACCAGUGACUAAUGAGCACUAUGCGAUUAAGCUAACGAGUAGAAAGUAUCAAUCCUAAUAGAAUAUUCAGAUGAAUGCCUUCUCUCUCAAGAGCCAUUACAAGCAACCUGACCAAUUAUUUCAAUUACCCCAGCUUUCUUCAAUUUUUUAAGGACAGAAAAUAACAAUUUUGUCUGUGCGUGCUGUAAAUAGAUUCUGAAGGUAAACAGAGAAAUAAAUGAAGAAACAAAUUAAGAACAGAGUUUAAAAGCCCAUUGUAAGGCUAAACUUCUGUUCUGAACUGCUCACCAGUGGAUCUCAGGAAGUUGAACUCUGCAAAGAAGUGACACAUGGUCUUAAAUAUUCACUUACAUCCUUGAUGGCAAAUAUGAACUCAUACGCCCAUAUAUUCCCCACUGAAAGGCUCACGAAGGUAUAAAGGCAAAACUUCCUACUCUAUAAGCAUUUAAAAUGCAUUUAUGAGUUCUGCAGAGUGAAUAACUGACAUGACUUACUCUUGGGUGCAGUUCUCUCUCCCAGGAGACUAAAUACCCAAAUGAGUCUGUAAGGAGAGAAGCAAAGAACUUUGCUUACCUGGGGAUCUCACACAAUAAGACACUACUCUGCCUCUCCUCAGGCUCCACUAAUCCCAACCAACAAAAUAGUUAGAGUUAACAAACUAUAAGAAUUAUUUUUAACAACGAGAUUUAAAAAUAAAUCCUUAGUUGUUCUACUUGCCUUUUGGACUUUGACGUUUCAAAAUCUUCAUUUUUGUUAUGUGAGAAUUAGCAAUCUUUACUCAUAACCUACAAUUAUGAAUAGUAAUGACCAAUAGGAUUCAGUCACACUUCCCUGACUCACAGGUCCUAGGAUUCUGUGGAAAAGAAGUGCUAUUUAGCAUAUUCUUUGACUUUAAAUUUGAAGGAAAUAUACAUUUGAGCAUGGUUUUAGUACGGAAAAAUUCACAUGAAAUAACAGAGUAAAAUCCAUUAUUCACUGCAGUUCAUUAAAUGAGUGCUGCAGCAUUUUUAGAAUGAUCAACUUGUAUAGAUUAAUGGUUUUGUCCAGCCUAUCCUUUCAGAAGAACCAGCCUCUAUAUUGCUUUUAAUUGUUUUGCUGAUUAUUACACACCAUACCCUACCUUGAAAUCAGCCCUUUUCUAUGUUUAGAACCUGGAACAGGAUCCAAAAUCACUUGUGGCUUAACAGAAGAAUCCAGGAUGUGAAACUCGAAAAAGUACUAUUACUAUUUAAUGUCCAGUUUUUACUGGAUAACAACCUUUUGUUGAAGUAGGGUAGUCUUCUGACCCCAUUAGCAGAAGAAUACCAACUUCAGAGAACAGCUAGAAUAGAAACAUUGCUUCAGGAGAUGCUAGCUAGGCAUGGGCCAACUUCCAAAUUCAUAAUCCUCUGGUGUAAAUUUCAAGUAGCCCCAUUGACUUCUGCUAACUCCACUGGAGUUCCUGUGGGAGUGAAACCAGGGUGAGGUCAGAAUCUGGCAGCUCGUUACUGAAUGCUGUCCAUGUCACAUGCUGACUGCUUUCUAAAAGUAAUCCUACUACAAGAGUUAGUUGUGUUUAGUCCAAAAUUCACACUGUCUGUUAAGAUAAGAGUUGUGGUGGAGGUGGAUUUUAACUUCGUGCUAAAGUGAAGCCUAAAGGUGAUUUUGAACAUUUGCCACCCAGAAUAGUAACCCUAAAUUUGCACUGCAACCUUCAUUUCACUCUCCAGUUCCAAAACAAUUCAGGAAUAUGUUGCCAAGCUUAUUUCUUUCUUUUUUUCUUUUUUUACACUCAGUGUGAUGUCUCAUUGUUUUCCACUGUGAAACAGCUCUUCGCCGUCACCUUGCUAUUUGUAGAAUAAGAUCUGAUUACAGCAAUAGGGCAAGAUGGUUCUGAAACUAUUUGCUGAUUUACAGACCAACAGAAAACCAAACUCACCUUAGUGUAAAGCAAUGUAGUUCAAAGAAUAACUUAAGACCAAUUAAUUUGAAAGGACUGCAAGGAUUCUUCUGCUGUUUAGGGACUGCCAGCUGCUCGAUUUUGCCUUGUGCCAAACCCCCACAGGAGUCUUCUUUAAAAUUGGUAACCGAGGGAAAGAAGUAGCAGAAGGGAAGGAAACAUAAAAAGAUUUACACCUGACAUUUUUUUUCUAUAUGAGAGAUCCUCUUUUUUUGCUGCAAAAGUGGUAUUGAGAGCUAUCUCCAGGCCAAGGCUAGCCAGUGUGCCUAGGAAACAAAGUCAGGGCAAGCGUUACCACAUUGCAAGAACUUAGGCCAUUGCUAAAUGCUCAUCUUUUCAGUAAUACUAACAACUGAAAAUGAGUGCUAAACACUGUCUCUGCAUGGUUAGAAGUCAAUAUCUUUUCUUAGGAAAAAAAAA